RNAcentral lists this ribosomal RNA (464 nucleotides) under uncultured Rhodocyclaceae bacterium. Its description in RNAcentral is "partial 16S ribosomal RNA". It matches the Rfam family "Bacterial small subunit ribosomal RNA", at positions 338 to 794 of the family's 1533-position model. Lineage: Bacteria; Pseudomonadati; Pseudomonadota; Betaproteobacteria; Rhodocyclales; Rhodocyclaceae. The record is from RNAcentral.
CCUACGGGAGGCAGCAGUGGGGAAUUUUGGACAAUGGGGGAAACCCUGAUCCAGCCAUUCCGCGUGAGUGAAGAAGGCCUUCGGGUUGUAAAGCUCUUUCGGCAGGAACGAAACGGCGGACUCUAACAUAGUCUGUCAAUGACGGUACCUGAAGAAGAAGCACCGGCUAACUACGUGCCAGCAGCCGCGGUAAUACGUAGGGUGCGAGCGUUAAUCGGAAUUACUGGGCGUAAAGCGUGCGCAGGCGGCUUGGUAAGACGGAGGUAAAAUCCCUGGGCUAAACCGGGGAACUGCGUUCGCGACGGAAAGGCUAGAGUGCGGCAGAGGGGGGUGGAAUUCCUGGUGUAGCAGUAAAAUGCGUAGAGAUCGGGAGGAACACCGAUGGCGAAGGCGGCCCCCGGGGUUGGCACUGACGCUGAGGCACGAAAGCGUGGGGAGCAAACAGGAUUAGAUCCCCCUGUAGU